CCUACGGGAGGCAGCAGUGGGGAAUAUUGGGCAAUGGGCGCAAGCCUGACCCAGCAACGCCGCGUGAAGGAUGAAGGCUUUCGGGUUGUAAACUUCUGUUGUCAGGGACGAAGCAAGUGACGGUACCUGACGAAUAAGCCACGGCUAACUACGUGCCAGCAGCCGCGGUAAUACGUAGGUGGCAAGCGUUAUCCGGAGUUACUGGGUGUAAAGGGCGUGUAGGCGGGACUGCAAGUCAGAUGUGAAAACCACCGGCUAAACCUGUGGCCUGCAUAUGAAACUGUAGUUCUUGAGUACAGGAGAGGUAGGCGGAAUUCCUAGUGUAGCGGUGGAAUGCGUAGAUAUUAGGAGGAACACCAGAGGCGAAGGCGGCCUGCUGGACAGCAACUGACGCUGAGGCGCGAAAGCGUGGGGAGCAAACAGGAUUAGAUACCCUUGUAGUC
RNAcentral lists this ribosomal RNA (443 nucleotides) under uncultured bacterium. RNAcentral describes it as "partial 16S ribosomal RNA". It matches the Rfam family "Bacterial small subunit ribosomal RNA", at positions 338 to 795 of the family's 1533-position model. The record is from RNAcentral.